UUCGUGUUUUUCAUUUGGAGGUCAUUAUCGCGUAGUAUUUUAAAAACAAAGGUACUGGGGUGUGGAUAAGAAACAGUCUUAAGUCUGUAUAAACGUGUCUGUUAAGGUACAUUAUUCGGCAUAGUUCGGCACAAGUAUAAUCGGGACAAAACUUCUCUAUCUGCACCAUUUCUCAAACACGACGGCAAUCUCGAAAUCGAAAAGACGGUACAAAAUGGAAUCAAUAGACCAAUUGGCGAAAAUUUUCCGUGCUUUGAUAAUUAGCAGCGGACGCAAACGCUUCACGAUAACAAAUUUAAAAGAGGAUUUCAAGCUACUCGAAGGGCAUUCUAUUCCAUACAACGAGUAUGGCUUUUGUCAAUUAGAAGAUAUGCUACGCUAUUUGAGCAAUCAUGUACAGGUCCAUGGUCAUGGUGCCAACGCAUACCUCACAGCAACCCCCACAACAACGUCACAGGAAACUUCAACCGCAAUGAAGUAGAAUGAUCAUACAUCGCAAGAUCAAAACAUUGACGAAACUUCGAAGGGAGAAUGUGGGCACAUUCCCUGUGACCCUAUGCAUUGCGGUAGACAUCCGCGGUAGACAAUUCGUAUUCCGUUUGAGCAAUAUGGCACCGAUUGAAAAUAAUUGUAAUGUGUGAUUGGAUUGAUUUUAUAAUGUGUGUUUGUACGGUGUACGGUACCGUUGACCAAACUAUGCAUAGGGGAAGCAACAGAGCAACCGUAGCACAGUGGGUAAUUUGUAUGCUAAAGGCGGACAUAUUUGUUUUUAGGAAGAAUCUAUGGACCUUUUUCAACGUUUUUGUUUUCUUUCUAUGUGUUUUGAUUAAAUUCAACUUUUUAUGUGUAACACACUCGUUCAAGUAUAACAAAUAAGCUAUGUUUUGUUAUUUUUAUGGUUUUUAAACGCUUUAUGUAUGCAAUCUGCAUUACAACAAAAAAAUUGAAGCACUAUGGUAAAAGCAAAUAUCAAAUUUCUGCUACAAAUCGAAUGCCUUAUGAGUUUAAAAAAGGAUAUGAAAUGAUCAAGGAGCUUUACCCACUCCGUUUGUGGGAAUUUAGACAUAAGUAAUUAUUACUAUCCGAAGUAUCCAGCCCAUGAACUAUUAUUUAAACGUUUGAUAGAAUACUUAUUAGUGUAUGUCUUCAUCACCCCCGCUGAUAGAGCAGUCGGUAACGCUCGUCCCCCCGCCCGUAAAAACGAACCACCGUAAAAACGCCGCCCGUAAAAACGAACUGUUACGGUGUUAGCGCCAGAGAUAUUAACGAAAAAUGUCUCUGAUGCAGGCUUAGAUCGCCCAGCGGUUCUAACGCCAAAUAAGAAGUAUGUCUUUCAUCAAACCUUAAAUUGAUAUUAUCUUCUUAGUUAAAUACAUGGUCAAUCGCAAUAUCGCCAAUAAAGUUUUUCCUCCAUGA
Molecule: long non-coding RNA, 1416 nt
Organism: Anopheles bellator
Lineage: Eukaryota; Metazoa; Arthropoda; Insecta; Diptera; Culicidae
Exons: 3
Source: RefSeq, a predicted model, not a curated record